AUUGAACGCUGGCGGCAGGCCUAACACAUGCAAGUCGAGCGGAUGACGGGAGCUUGCUCCUUGAUUCAGCGGCGGACGGGUGAGUAAUGCCUAGGAAUCUGCCUGGUAGUGGGGGACAACGUUUCGAAAGGAACGCUAAUACCGCAUACGUCCUACGGGAGAAAGCAGGGGACCUUCGGGCCUUGCGCUAUCAGAUGAGCCUAGGUCGGAUUAGCUAGUAGGUGAGGUAAUGGCUCACCUAGGCGACGAUCCGUAACUGGUCUGAGAGGAUGAGCAGUCACACUGGAACUGAGACACGGUCCAGACUCCUACGGGAGGCAGCAGUGGGGAAUAUUGGACAAUGGGCGAAAGCCUGAUCCAGCCAUGCCGCGUGUGUGAAGAAGGUCUUCGGAUUGUAAAGCACUUUAAGUUGGGAGGAAGGGCAGUAAGUUAAUACCUUGCUGUUUUGACGUUACCGACAGAAUAAGCACCGGCUAACUCUGUGCCAGCCGCCGCUGUAA
RNAcentral lists this ribosomal RNA (500 nucleotides) under uncultured bacterium. RNAcentral's name for it is "partial 16S ribosomal RNA". It matches the Rfam family "Bacterial small subunit ribosomal RNA", at positions 30 to 523 of the family's 1533-position model. The record is from RNAcentral.